This 497-nucleotide ribosomal RNA is filed under the name uncultured bacterium. Its description in RNAcentral is "partial 16S ribosomal RNA". It matches the Rfam family "Bacterial small subunit ribosomal RNA", at positions 28 to 507 of the family's 1533-position model. The record is from RNAcentral.
GAUGAACGCUGGCGGCGUGCCUAAUACAUGCAAGUCGAGCGAACAGACGAGGAGCUUGCUCCUUUGACGUUAGCGGCGGACGGGUGAGUAACACGUGGGUAACCUACCUAUAAGACUGGGAUAACUUCGGGAAACCGGAGCUAAUACCGGAUAAUAUUUCGAACAGCAUGGUUCGAUAGUGAAAGAUGGCUUUGCUUACACUUAUAGAUGGAUUUCCGCCGUAUUAGCUAGUUGGUAAGGUAACGGCUUACCAAGGCAACGAUACGUAGCCGACCUGAGAGGGUGGUCGGCCAGACAGGAACUGAGACACAGUCCAGAUGCCUGCGCAGCGAAGGAGUAGGCUGUCUACGGCGAUAGGCGAAAGCCUGACAGGGCAACGCCGCGUGUAUGAUGAAGGUCUUCGGAUCGUAGAGCUAUGUUAUUAGGGAAGAACAAAAUUGUAUGUAACUGUGCACGUCAUGACGGUACCUAAACAGAAAGACCCGGCUAACUACGUA